AGAGUUUGAUCAUGGCUCAGGACGAACGCUGGCGGCGUGCUUAACACAUGCAAGUGGAGCGACGAACCAGGGCUUGCCCUGGGGCAGAGCCGCGAACGGGUGAGUAACACGUGGGUAACCUACCCCGAUGACCGGGACAACCCGAGGAAACUCGGGCUAAUACCGGAUGUUCUCGCUUCUCGUAAGGGAAUCGAGCAAAGAUAGCUUCGGCCUUCGCAUCGGGACGGGCCCGCGGCCCAUUAGCUUGUUGGUGGGGUAACGGCCUACCAAGGCGACGAUGGGUAGCUGGUCUGAGAGGACGAUCAGCCACACUGGGACUGAGACACGGCCCAGACUCCUACGGGAGGCAGCAGUGGGAAAUCUUGCGCAAUGCGCGAAAGCGUGACGCAGCAACGCCGCGUGGGGGAAGAAGGCCUUCGGGUUGUAAACCCCUUUCAGUUGGGACGAAGCUUCGCCGGUUAAUAGCCGGCUGGAGUGACGGUACCUUCAGAAGAAGCCCCGGCUAACUACGUGCCAGCAGCCGCGGUA
RNAcentral lists this ribosomal RNA (528 nucleotides) under uncultured Actinomycetes bacterium. RNAcentral describes it as "bacterial SSU rRNA". It matches the Rfam family "Bacterial small subunit ribosomal RNA", at positions 8 to 522 of the family's 1533-position model. Lineage: Bacteria; Bacillati; Actinomycetota; Actinomycetes. The record is from RNAcentral.